ACUCCUACGGGAGGCAGCAGUGGGGAAUAUUGCACAAUGGGGAAACCCUGAUGCAGCCAUGCCGCGUGUGUGAAGAAGGCCUUCGGUUGUAAAGCACUUUCAGUAGGGAGGAAGGUAGUGUAGUUAACACCUGCAUUAUUUGACGUUACCUACAGAAGAAGCACCGGCUAACUCCGUGCCAGCAGCCGCGGUAAUACGGAGGGGUGCGAGCGUUAAUCGGAAUUACUGGGCGUAAAGCGCAUGCAGGCGGCCUGUUAAGUCAGAUGUGAAAGCCCGGGGGCUUAACCUCGGAAUUGCAUUUGAAACUGGCAGGCUAGAGUCUGUAGAGGGGGUAGAAGUUUCAGGUGUAGCGGUGAAAUGCGUAGAGAUCUGAAGGAAUACCAGUGGCGAAGGCGGCCCCUGGACCAAAGGACUGAACGCUCAGAUGCGAAAGCGUGGGG
This 440-nucleotide ribosomal RNA is filed under the name uncultured bacterium. Its description in RNAcentral is "bacterial SSU rRNA". It matches the Rfam family "Bacterial small subunit ribosomal RNA", at positions 335 to 766 of the family's 1533-position model. The record is from RNAcentral.